Molecule: transfer RNA, 65 nt
Filed under: Trachelospermum jasminoides
Lineage: Eukaryota; Viridiplantae; Streptophyta; Magnoliopsida; Gentianales; Apocynaceae
Description: tRNA-Ser
Rfam family: tRNA
About the family: Transfer RNA (tRNA) molecules are approximately 80 nucleotides in length. Their secondary structure includes four short double-helical elements and three loops (D, anti-codon, and T loops).
Source: RNAcentral
AGCGGAGUAGAGUAAUAGGUCAACUCAUGACCUGAAGACUGCAGGUUCGAAUCCUGUCCCCGCCU